GGUAAUGCCGGAUGCUCCGACUCCUCGCAUGGGGUGUCGGGAAAGAUUUCAUCGGUAUGGGAUGGGGUCGCGUCCUAUCAGGUAGUCGGCGGGGUAACGGCCCACCGAGCCUACGACGGGUAGCCGGCCUGAGAGGGCGACCGGCCACAUUGGGACUGAGAUACGGCCCAGACUCCUACGGGAGGCAGCAGUGGGGAAUAUUGCACAAUGGGCGCAAGCCUGAUGCAGCGACGCCGCGUGCGGGAUGACGGCCUUCGGGUUGUAAACCGCUUUUGAUCGGGAGCAAGCCUUCGGGUGAGUGUACCUUUCGAAUAAGCACCGGCUAACUACGUGCCAGCAGCCGCGGUAAUACGUAGGGUGCAAGCGUUAUCCGGAAUUAUUGGGCGUAAAGGGCUCGUAGGCGGUUCGUCGCGUCCGGUGUGAAAGUCCAUCGCUUAACGGUGGAUCUGCGCCGGGUACGGGCGGGCUGGAGUGCGGUAGGGGAGACUGGAAUUCCCGGUGUAACGGUGGAAUGUGUAGAUAUCGAGAGA
RNAcentral lists this ribosomal RNA (530 nucleotides) under Bifidobacterium pseudocatenulatum. RNAcentral describes it as "bacterial SSU rRNA". It matches the Rfam family "Bacterial small subunit ribosomal RNA", at positions 162 to 704 of the family's 1533-position model. The record is from RNAcentral. Lineage: Bacteria; Bacillati; Actinomycetota; Actinomycetes; Bifidobacteriales; Bifidobacteriaceae.